CACAGCCACGCGUACUAAAUUGUUAUAUACACACGAUUUUCUUUAUGUUUGAGAGAUUUUGAUUAUAUGCUACCUUCAUUUUGUUAAUUUUUCAAAAAGCAGUUGUUUAUUCUUGUUUCAAACAAUGGCAACCAGAUUUACUGUAAUAAGGCCCGAAGAGAAUAAGUUGUCUUCAGGUGAUAAAAAUUACGGUUCUACAACGUUAGAUAAAUCCUAUGCGAGGGAAAGCGACGAAGUUAAUGAAAAUAGCGUUGACUUAAAUAUCAAUGACUAUGAUGGUCAGCAAGAAGAGAACCAACCAAUCUUUAUAGAUGGCAGUUUGUCAGGAUAUGAAAGAAAUAUGUAUUUGUUCCAUGAAGAAAUGCCUGAGCGUCCAACUGUUGCUACUCUUCUGAAUUCCCUAGCCAAUUAUAAUGUAACUAUCCCUUCUGUAUCUGACCAGGAUGCUAAGAUGGUGCCAAAGAAAGCAAACCUGGGAACAUUAGCAGGUGUUUACUUUCCUUGUAUUCAAAAUAUUUUUGGGGUAAUCUUUUUCAUUCGCCUGGUUUGGAUCGUAGGGACUGCUGGUGUUCCACAAGCCUUCUUAGUGGUGUUUCUCUGCUGCUGUGUGACAUUUGCCACCUGCAUCUCUUUAAGUGCUAUUGCCACUAAUGGAAUUGUUCCUGCUGGAGGUGCUUACUUUAUGAUAUCGAGAGCACUUGGGCCCGAGUUUGGUGGAGCUGUGGGAAUAUUAUUUUAUUUAGCAACUUCUGUGGCUGGGGCAAUGUACAUCACUGGAGCUGUAGAGAUUUUACUGGUAUAUUUGGUGCCCCAGUUGUCUUUGUUUGGGGACUUCCGUCAGGACCCUCAGAUAAUGUAUCAUAACUUUCGUGUGUAUGGAACCAUUCUUCUUAUCCUGAUGGGCAUUAUUGUUUACAUUGGAGUGGCAUUUAUCAGCAAGUUUGCACCUGUAGCCCUCUUCUGUGUUAUUGUCUCGAUUCUCUGUGUGUACAUUGGCAUAUUUGUAAACAUAUAUGGGAGUAAAAAUUUCAACAUUUGUGUUUUAGGAGAUCGGCUCUUGUCAAGCAUGAGCAACGCUGUUUGUUCAAAGGAGAAGAAUGUUACAGGGUCUCUGUACAAUAUUUAUUGUCAUUCUCUAAAUGAAACAUAUGAAGAAUGUGAUCCAUACUUCAUGGAGCAUGAGGUGCAUGUAGUGCAGGCUAUUCCAGGUUUAGCAAGUGGUGUUUUCAAAGAUAACUUGUUAGCUUACUAUCGCCACAAAGGAGAUUUGGUUUCUAGGACAACUGAACGGGAAGCUGCCAGCUCAUAUGGGCAGAACACGUACAACCAGGUUUUGGUGGAUAUAACAACUACUUUUACUUUGUUUGUGGCCAUUUUCUUCCCAUCUUGCACAGGACUGAUGGCAGGGUCUAACAGAUCUGGUGAUCUUGAAGAUGCUUCCAAAUCUAUACCGUCUGGUACUCUGGCAGCUCAGUUAACAACAUCUUUUGUUUAUUUGACGGGUGUUUUACUCUUUGGAGCAACUUCUGAUAACCUAUUUCUUCGAGACAAAUUUGGAGAGAGCGUUGGUGGAGAUUUGGCUGUUGCUGUUCUGGCUUGGCCUCACCCAAUGGUCAUUAAGAUAGGGUCAUUUCUGUCCACUGUUGGAGCUGGAUUACAAUCUUUAACAGGAGCACCUCGACUGAUGCAGGCUAUUGCUAAAGACCAGAUUAUCCCCUUCCUAAAUGUGUUUUCUUACAGUUCCUCAAAGAAUGAACCAACUCGGGCUCUUUUCCUUACCUUGGGAAUCUGUGAACUAGGAAUUUUAAUUGGAAAUUUAGACUACAUUGCACCAAUUUUGACUAUGUUUUUUCUUAUGUGUUACAUGUUUGUGAAUCUGGCAUGCACACUGCAGAGUCUACUUAGAACCCCAAACUGGAGACCUCGUUUUAAGUAUUACCACUGGUCACUGUCUCUUCUGGGAGUUAUUUUAUGCCUGGUGGUAAUGUUUUUGAGUAGCUGGUAUUAUGCCCUUGUUGCUAUGGCAAUAGCAGGCUGCAUCUACAAGUACAUAGAGUAUCGAGGAGCUGAGAAAGAAUGGGGAGAUGGUAUCCGUGGCUUGGCAUUAUCAGCAGCACGUUAUAGCUUGUUGAGGCUUGAAGAAGGCCCACCUCAUACAAAGAACUGGCGUCCUCAACUUUUAGUACUCUGUAAACUUAAUGAAGACUUAACACCAAAAUACAGAAAACUGUUUACAUUUGCUUCUCAGUUAAAAGCUGGGAAAGGGCUAACCCUUGUGAGUUCAGUACUAGAAGGAGCAUAUAGGAAAAUGUAUAGUGAAUCUCAAGCAGCUAAACUGAGUUUAAAGAAAACUAUGGAUGAGGAGAAAGUCAAGGGGUUUUCAGAAGUAGUGGUGACAAAUAAUGUAACUGAUGGUAUUUGUCAUUUGAUUCAGACAUCUGGUCUUGGUGGAUUAAAGCACAAUACAGUAAUCCUUGGCUGGCCUUAUGGCUGGAGACAGUCUCCAGAAGAAAAAACAUGGAGAGUUUUUCUUGAUACAAUUCGCAUUGUUUCUGCCAGCAAGAAUGCCCUGUUGGUUCCAAAAGGAAUUACUAUGUUUCCUGAAAGUACAGAAAAAGUAUCAGGUCAUAUUGAUGUGUGGUGGAUUGUUCAUGAUGGAGGCUUGUUGAUGUUACUACCAUUCCUACUGAAACAACACAAAACCUGGAAGAAUUGCAAGCUACGAAUCUUCACUGUUGCUCAAAUGGAAGACAAUAGUAUCCAGAUGAAGAAAGAUUUGGCCACUUUUAUCUAUCAUCUUAGGAUAGAAGCUGAAGUCGAAGUUGUGGAAAUGAUGGAUAGUGACAUAUCAGCAUAUACUUAUGAGCGGACUUUGAUGAUGGAGCAGCGGACUGAGAUGAUCAAGCAACUGCGUUUGAACAGGAAGGAAACUCUGAAUGUGCCAUGGAAUAAAUGAAGACUUGCCUAGCCCAGCUCACUCAUCUCCAUCUCAAGCAAAUCAGCAUUAUGAAGAAAAUAACGAGCAAGUUGCAAAUAGUAGUUCAUCAGACUCGUUUGACAAGUUACUCUACAUUAGACCUGAUGAAGCCAAUGUUCGACGAAUGCACACAGCAGUGAAAUUAAAUGAAGUAAUUGUCACAAAGUCUCAUUCUGCUCAGCUUGUCAUUAUAAAUCUUCCUGGUCCU
Molecule: unclassified non-coding RNA, 3185 nt
Filed under: Limulus polyphemus (Atlantic horseshoe crab)
Lineage: Eukaryota; Metazoa; Arthropoda; Merostomata; Xiphosura; Limulidae
Description: solute carrier family 12 member 6-like, transcript variant X3
Source: RNAcentral